AUGAACGCUGGCGGCGUGCCUAAUACAUGCAAGUCGAGCGAACGGACGAGAAGCUUGCUUCUCUGAUGUUAGCGGCGGACGGGUGAGUAACACGUGGAUAACCUACCUAUAAGACUGGGAUAACUUCGGGAAACCGGAGCUAAUACCGGAUAAUAUUUUGAACCGCAUGGUUCAAAAGUGAAAGACGGUCUUGCUGUCACUUAUAGAUGGAUCCGCGCUGCAUUAGCUAGUUGGUAAGGUAACGGCUUACCAAGGCAACGAUGCAUAGCCGACCUGAGAGGGGGAUCGGCCACACUGGAACUGAGACACGGUCCAGACUCCUACGGGAGGCAGCAGUAGGGAAUCUUCCGCAAUGGGCGAAAGCCUGACGGAGCAACGCCGCGUGAGUGAUGAAGGUCUUCGGAUCGUAAAACUCUGUUAUUAGGGAAGAACAUAUGUGUAAGUAACUGUGCACAUCUUGACGGUACCUAAUCAGAAAGCCACGGCUAACUACGUG
RNAcentral lists this ribosomal RNA (496 nucleotides) under uncultured bacterium. RNAcentral's name for it is "partial 16S ribosomal RNA". It matches the Rfam family "Bacterial small subunit ribosomal RNA", at positions 29 to 507 of the family's 1533-position model. The record is from RNAcentral.